UCCUUCAAAAGCAAAGAGUUGUAUCCAGUGAUGAAAUUUCCUCUGAGGAAAGCACAAACAAGAAGGGAUCAGAUGAAGAGAUAGCCAGCACUCCUCCAAGCUCCAAUGAAUCUGGUUCAGAUUAAGGGCCCACAGAGGACAUGGUGUCACGAAUCAUUCUUACAAAUCAGUGUUGUGAUGUUGGGACAGCAUUGAAGUGUUUAUUAAAUAUGGGAAGAUUUGUACAUUUCUAUGUGUAAUUGAAGCUAGUACCUGCUU
This is a non-coding RNA of Pelobates cultripes (western spadefoot toad), 258 nucleotides long. The record is from the annotation of a GenBank genome assembly. Lineage: Eukaryota; Metazoa; Chordata; Amphibia; Anura; Pelobatidae.